Non-coding RNA from Ciona intestinalis (vase tunicate), 751 nucleotides. Lineage: Eukaryota; Metazoa; Chordata; Ascidiacea; Phlebobranchia; Cionidae. The record is from RefSeq and is a predicted model, not a curated record.
UCACGCUUCAGUAAAUGGACGUGUUGCCGACAAAUUUCCAUUACAAUUUAUUACGAAAUGCCUUUCACCUAGCUAAAUCACUCAAAAUGGGUAAAAAUAUCAAAUUUGUAAUAAAGCAGCCAAAAAUGUUUAGCUUUGGAAAUAACCUUUUUUUUGUUGUGAAAAAAAAAACAAUUCUGAUAAAGUAGUUUGAUUUCGAAAAAACGUGUAUCGCACUGUUGUGUAAUUGACCAAUUGACCAUUUGCAAUAUUCUGCGCCGAAGAAUGCAAUGGAUCGAAUAGAUACAACUUCUGACUUUUCCGAGCUGGAGUCCUUGAACGAAUACAGUCAACACAACCUGCAUCAACGGGUCCCUGUUGAAAGAAUGGAAGUUAAUAUGAACGAUGCCUACUAUAACAGAAAGAGACGGAGUUCUUCUUUUAAGUGGAAAUGGGCCAACUGCUUUGCUGUGACCGUAUACCUAAUCGCAAUCGCUACACCAAGUACAAUGCUGUUUUACAGAUAUUUUUUGAUGGAAUGGCCAUACCAAUCUGUGUAAUCGCUUUUAUGGUAUAUUGCUUUAUUCAUGUUGUUUUAAUGUUUAAGUUGUUGUAACACAUUCUACAUAUUUAACAAUGUUCAUUAAUCAUAUAUUGCAAGACAUGCCAUUAAGAUAAAUACACAUAAUGUUGUUGGUAAUACAGUAUUUUAUUAUGUCAAUGUUCUUCACUGUGUUGUUAAUUGUAAUAAAACUUUUGUUGUAACAAUUUA